GACGAACGCUGGCGGCGUGCCUAAUACAUGCAAGUAGAACGCAGUUGCGAACGGGUGAGUAACGCGUAGGUACCUGCCUCAUAGCGGGGGACAACUAUUGGAAACGAUAGCUAAUACCGCAUACUGUGAGAUGGACCUGCGGUGUAUUAGCUAGUUGGUGAGGUAAAGGCUGACCAAGGCGACGAUACAUACCCGACCUGGGAGGGGGGUCGGGCAAACUGGGACUUGGGCACGGGCCAGAAUCCUACGGGGGGGAACAGUAGGGGAACUUCGGGAAUGGGCGGAAAGCUGGCCGGGCCACGCCGCGGGGGUGAAGGAGGUUUUCGGGUCGUAAAGCUCUGUUGGUAGGGGAGCGGUAACUAACCAGAAAGGGACGGCUAACUACGUGCCAGCAGCCGCGGUAAUUC
This 407-nucleotide ribosomal RNA is filed under the name uncultured bacterium. RNAcentral describes it as "partial 16S ribosomal RNA". It matches the Rfam family "Bacterial small subunit ribosomal RNA", at positions 28 to 526 of the family's 1533-position model. The record is from RNAcentral.